GUCUGGAAGGACAGGGGCACGGUCACCAUGUAGGGCACGUUGAGCUUCUUGAGGGAGUCGAUAGCCUUGGGGUGGUCCUGGCGAGCGGGACCGCCGACGAGCGCGAAGCCGGUGAGGGACAGGACGGUGUCGACAAAGGCACCCUUGGUGAUGGGGUCGAAGAAGAAGCGCUCGACCGGGACGGAGAAGUCGAGGCCGCCCGCGAACACGGGCACCACCUUGGCGCCGCGGGACUCGAGCUCCAUCACCAUGCCCGCGUAGUGGCCCUCGUCGCCGGUGACGAGGUGCGAGCGCUGGAGGACGAGGCCGACGACGGGGGCAUCCUUGGCGAAGGUCAUGUCCUUGCGGGUGUCGUACCAGUUGAGGUACUCCUUGAGGUCCUCGUACAUGGUGGGCGCGGUGGGGUGCCAGAUGCCGAUGUCGGGGAACGUCUCGGGCUCGGCAAUCUCCAUCUCCAUGUCCUUGAGCGCGGGAACGUAC
RNAcentral lists this long non-coding RNA (480 nucleotides) under Micromonas commoda. RNAcentral's name for it is "long non-coding RNA (MCOM_LNC000227)". Lineage: Eukaryota; Viridiplantae; Chlorophyta; Mamiellophyceae; Mamiellales; Mamiellaceae. The record is from RNAcentral.